AAAUUCAUCAGAUGGUAGUAAUGCCAUGGAAAUGCAGAAUGAUUGCUCCUCAGCAAACACAUCACCAAGUAAUGAUUCUUAACUUCAACUUGGAUGUAUAGUUUGGGUAUGAAUCUGAAUUCGAGUCUUUAUUGUUAUUGUGAUAAUUUUGGAAUCAUAAUGUUGUUCAAUUCAAUUCAAAGCAAAUCCAAAUCCUUUUACAUUGUUUAUGCCACAUUUUGGUCAUCAAUUACUCCAACAAAAUUACAAGGUAAAAACAAUUUCUCAAAAUUAAACUGUCAUUCCGAUUUUCCUCACAGAAUUUCAUCUCUCAUAAAUGGAUUACUUGUGAAUGAUGCUUCUCAUUAUUCUAUCAGCCAUGGAGCUUGAACUUGUGUCCAUUCUGUUAAUUCACCUUCUUUGAACCAUAAAGCUGUCAUGAAAAAUUUACAUUGGUCAUGUUACAACAUAAAUAUACAAGAUUGAUGUAUGCCAUACACAGACCACAAGCAAACAUCAAAGGUUUUAAAACUAUAUUUGUUAAAUAUUCAAGAUGAAGAACAAAAGGAAUAUUAUAAAAAAAUUACUAUUUUGCCCUUUCGAGGCAUUCUUGCCAUCCUCAAUAAUCACGAAUAAAGAAAGAAGAAAAUGCAAGAACAAGACGAUACCUAUCUCCCGCUUCCCAUUUUCAGGGCUAUCACUCCCAUGAACCACAUUCCUGUUUAUAUAAGAAAACAACCAUGAUACAAUUUAGGACACAGAAAAGUAUAUACAGAAAAGCCAAAUUCAUAAAUUUUAUAGAAAAAGGUAAAAAAGUUUAACCUUCCGGUUUGAAUUGCAAGAUCUCCUCUAAUUGUACCCGGUUCAGCUUGAAGUGGAUUUGUUGCUCCAAUUAACUUACGUGCUGAUGCAACCACACCAACUCCCUCCCAAGCCUAAAAAAAAAAUCAAUUCAGUAAGAAAUAAUCUAAUAAAAUUUUAACAAAAAAUCUCGAGAAAUAAUAUUAUUACCAUACAAACAACAGGACCAGAUGUAAUGUAGCUAAUCAGUUUGGGGAAGAAAGGCUUCGAGCUUAAAUCCUUAUAAUGUUCCUAUAAAACCAUUUGCAAUCGAAAAUUGUUAGUAUUACUUACUGAUUAGUGUGUUAAUAACCCUAAAAAUCGGAGAUAAAACAAACCUCACCUCUGCUAGAUCUUUGGGGCAGUCGAAAAGCUUUAAGCCUUUCAAUUUGAAUCCCUUUUUUUCAAACCUAGAAAUUAUCUCUCCCACCUGUAAUAAUAGUAAUUAAAAUCCACAAUUAAGAAGAAUAUGGAGCUAAAUUUAUUGUUGCUAAACUUAAUUUGAACACUUACGAGUCCUCGUUGAACGCCAUCGGGCUUAAUCAUAAUAUAGGAUUCCUCCACUUCCUGUGAGAAUUGAUAACAACGAAAGAGAAGUCAAAUCGAAGCUAAUUAGGGUUUUAGUUUUGAAACGACUGAAGUGAAAUUAGAAAUGGAGAUAAUAACCAUGGAAGCGACCAAAUGAGGAAGAAAUAUGUUAGGGUUUUUCUUCUUGGUUGCAUGAAUACGAGUCGAUAGUGAUUUGGAGAAAAGAUGAGACGGCGACUGAAAUGCGGCUAGAUGACGGUGGCUGGUGGCGGAGACGGCGGUGGUGGGUAAGGAUAAGUUAAUUCUGGUGUCGGAUGAAGAAGAUGAUAAUCGGAUUGACGAUAGCGACGCCAUUAUUACGCUCUCCAUUUUCCUCUACUUGAGCUGAUAAUGAAAUGCUGUUAGCCUGUUAUUACUGUAUGUUUCUUUUUUUGUUUUUUCAUCGGAAGAAUUUACAAAAAUGGUCCCUGGACUAUUUCUUAAAUGUAUGUUUCUUGUUUUGUUAGUCAAUUCUUGUAAACGUAUAUACAAUUUUUUUUAUACCUGGAUUCCAUAUGUUGAUCCCUUUUUUGGAAUGAUUUGUCUGCUUAUAUCAACCUGUCUAUUUUAGGAUGUUCAUAUUUAUGUUUAAAAACUGAUUAUGGAAUAUUUAAUAAUCACAAUUAAAUGAUUAAUUAUGAUAGAAUAAAUUGUGGACGUUCAAAAAAAAGAUAAAACAGAUUGUAGCAUAUACUAUUUGAAUAUGCUUUCAUUGUUUGAAUGUUUGAUAAGAUAUGGUUAUUUUAAAAAAUUAACAAAUAAAAUGAUAAAAUGAUAUUUUUGUCAGAAAAGAGUCAUUUACAAUAAAAAUGAAAAUUUUAUAUUAGCUUUGGAAAAAAGGGCAAUUGUUUAAUCUAUUUUACUCUUUUUAUAAUCAAUCUCGUUAAAUUGAUAUGAAACCAAUAAAUAGAUUUGUAAAUUAAGCAAAUAUAUUAACCCAAACAUUAAAACCUGAUUAUGAAAGCCACAGUUACCAACUAACCAUACACUAAUAUUGACUAUAAAGAAAGUGGCCUCUCUUGCGUUAAAGUCUAGCCCAAGUCAUAAUUUGUUGUAACCUUGUAGCCUAGGUAAGGGAUAUGUUGAAACUGAAAAGAAGAAAUUAAAGACUUUAGAGUAAAAUACACAUAUUAUCCUUGAAUUAUUUAGGGUAAUGACACAAAACACAUUCUUUUUACACAAAAAUUUGAUUUUGACACCGUGUUUUUUUUUUUGUGUCAAUUUUGACACUGUGUUUUUCAAUUUGUUACAAUUCUGACCACUUGACCGGUUAACCAGGUUGCAUGCUGACGUGACAUGAUGAUGUGUCAGUUUUGAUGACGUGGUAUGCUGACAUAAUAUGCUGACGUGUCAAAAUUGAAUUUUUUUUCCACAAAAAACACUAAGUUUUCACUUUUUUUCGAUUUUGACACUAAGUUUAAUUUUUUAUUUCAAUUUUAACACUAUGUUUUUUUUUGUUCCAAUCGAACAUCAUUUAUCAAAUUUUGUUUAAUUUUGUCUAUUUUCCAUUUAAAAUCGUAUAAAUAUAUUUUUUGUUACAUUUUAAACCGUAUAAACAUAUUUUUUUCGUUUAAAAACCAUAUUUUUAUUUAUAUACAAGGUGUUGUUUUUUUUCUUACAUUCAAAGCAUUAGUUAUAUAAUGAGAAUCAAACUAACCAUAAGCUUCUAAUAAGAUGCAAAAAUUUGAUGGGUGACAAACUUGAUAUCCGAGUUUUGAUCGACUGCACACCUCCAAACCUCCAAACACAUUUUAAAGUUGCAUAUUUAAUAUAAAAUACAAUUUUUAUAUAACUAAUACAUAUUUAUACAUAAAAAUAUGGUUUGAGUGUAAAAAAAAAUGUAUUUAUACAAAACUAUGUUUUUUAAAUGAAAAAAAAACAUAUUUAUAUGGUUUAAAUGUAUUAAAAAAAUAUUUAUACGGUUUCAAAUAGAAAAUUAUCAACAUUGAACAAAAUUGAAAAAAUGAUGUUUGAUUUGGAACAAAAAAACAUAGUGCCAAAGUUGAAAAAAAAAUUAAACUUAGUGUCAAAAUUGAAAAAAAUGAAAACUUAUCAUGUCAGCAUACCACGUCAUCAAAACUGACACGUCAUCAUGCCACGUCAGCAUGCAACCUGGUUAACCGGUCAAGUGGUCAGAAUUGUAACAAAUUGGAAAACACAGUGUCAAAAUUGACACAAAAAAAACACAGUGUCAAAAUCGAAUUUUUGUAUAAAAAGAGUGUUUUUUGUCCCAUUUACCCAAUUAUUUAAUAAUUGCAAGGUUGGUAAGUUAAAUUUUGUAUUUAACACUUUUGAUAUGUAACAAUCUGUUUCAUGGCUCAUGAGCUCAAACAAUUAACAACAAUAAAAAUACUAAUAACAACAGACCAUCAAAUCUUGGAAUGCCAUGUCGAUAGUCAUAUCUUCAUUAAAGAUAAAGCAAAUAUUUCACAUAAACAUCCGGUAUGUGUACAUGAACCUCAUUUUGGUGUUGAAAAACAAUUUUUAGUUUGUAAAAAAACAUUCUUUUUAUUUAAAUUUCAAAAUGUUAGUUAAAUGAGUCGAACUUUUUAAACACAACCAAACAUGUUAUAUAGAUGAGUUGACAUCAACUUCACCAUUUUUUUUUAAAUCCAAUUUGUCAAAUAAAAAGUUAAAUUCGAAUUGGCUCAUUUAAAUUUCAAAAUAUAAAUUAAAAAAGAAACUAUUACACUUAGUUAAAUAAGUUAUAAAUCAUUUAAUUUUUGGAUGUGAGGAAAAAAACUGCAACUAUAAGUAUAAAUCAAUUGUUCAAAUAAUGUUGAACGUGAUUACCUUCUAUAUAAAUCAAUGAGAACUAGAAUUUCAACGAGUUCGUGAAGGAAUAAAGAAAACAUACAUGUUCUUUAUAAGUUUAUAAGAAUGGUCACAUGAGUUCGAACACACCUCACGCCUUCUUAGCCCUUUCCUCUAUAUUGUUUAAUGAAUUGAUGUGACAUUUCACAACAAAAACGACACAUGAACUUUUAGACGAGUCAGAUUGAUAGAUAAUGGGGUAAAGGCUAAAAAAUGAAAGAUUUUCGGUAAAUAAUGACAAAUAAAAAACACAAAAAAUAAAAAUUAAAACAAAUUAAGGCCAAUACCUACGAAACUUAUAAAUAAUGCCUUGUUUUCUCAUUAACUUAAUGAAAAACAGAGCAGAGCUUGAGAGCUUCGAAUAGCUACCAUAAUAACUCAUUCACCCACCCGCUCUCCCAUCUUUGAUCUUCCAUCCGGUCGAGAUCGAUGACGUCUGACGGAAGUGUUACCGCUUCGGAGGCCACCGUACCGGAAUCUGACGGUAACAAACUUUGUGUUAGUUAAUUCUUUAUCCGGAGACGACCAUUCUCUCAAGUAAACAUCUACUUGUAAAUUUCAAUGUUUCAGGAGCUGUGAAAUUAUAUGUUAGUUACUACUUUGUUCGAAACUUUACAGAUAAUAUCAAUGUUCGUAAAUUUCUGUCUAUUGUUGUUGUUUGUAGAUUUAAUGCUGCUUAAUAGUUGUAUGUACCUACAGUUGAAACCCUAAUGCCCUAGAUUUGAAUCAUUUGAUUAGGAAUUGCGAAAUUCCAUAUGUGUUUACUGACUUUGGUACAAUUUCGUAUGCAAAAUCCUACUUCAUUAACCUAGGAACCACUUAAUCUUUCGUAUUUUGUUUGCCCAUUACGUAAUCAAAAACUGUCAGUACCACAAGUAAUUCAACAUAAGAAAGUAAGUACCUCUUUCUAUUUCUAUUUCUAUUGAUGGAAGAUAAAACUUAAUCACAAUUGCUUUCCAUUCUAUCCCUAUUAAAAGAAUGCCAAUCAGUACAUUAUAUAUACACCCUACUUUUUCACACCAAAUCACAACAGUUAGUUUAUUUCCUCUGUACGUAUCCAUUGAACACGUUCACACUUCACACUCUUUUUUUUUUUUUUCAUUUGGGACAUACCCAACUUAGAAUCUUUAUUCUCUUAUUGAAGCUUGCACUGUAACCACUCCUUACAUUCUCUCACAAGCUUGCAGCUUUACUGUUUUAUUG
RNAcentral lists this long non-coding RNA (5403 nucleotides) under Lactuca sativa (garden lettuce). RNAcentral's name for it is "long non-coding RNA (LSAT_LNC003772)". The record is from RNAcentral. Lineage: Eukaryota; Viridiplantae; Streptophyta; Magnoliopsida; Asterales; Asteraceae.